This 76-nucleotide transfer RNA is filed under the name Myxococcales bacterium. RNAcentral's name for it is "tRNA-Met". It matches the Rfam family "tRNA". From Rfam's summary of the family: Transfer RNA (tRNA) molecules are approximately 80 nucleotides in length. Their secondary structure includes four short double-helical elements and three loops (D, anti-codon, and T loops). The record is from RNAcentral. Lineage: Bacteria; Pseudomonadati; Myxococcota; Myxococcia; Myxococcales.
GGGCCCGUAGCUCAGCGGUUAGAGCAACCGGCUCAUAACUGGUUAGUCCUCGGUUCAAAUCCGAGCGGGCCCACCA